UACGGAGGGUGCAAGCGUUAAUCGGAAUUACUGGGCGUAAAGCGCGCGUAGGCGGUUUUGUAAGUCGGAUGUGACAGCCCUGGGCUCAACCUGGGAAUUGCAUUCGAAACUGCAUGACUAGAGUAUAGUAGAGGGAAGUGGAAUUCCAGGUGUAGCGGUGAAAUGCGUAGAUAUAUGGAGGAACACCGAUGGCGAAGGCAGCCCCCUGGGUUAACACUGACGCUCAGGCACGAAAGCGUGGGGAGCAAACAGG
RNAcentral lists this ribosomal RNA (253 nucleotides) under uncultured bacterium. RNAcentral describes it as "partial 16S ribosomal RNA". It matches the Rfam family "Bacterial small subunit ribosomal RNA", at positions 524 to 776 of the family's 1533-position model. The record is from RNAcentral.